GACGAACGCUGGCGGCGUGCUUAACACAUGCAAGUCGAACGGAGAGGCCCUGCUUUUGUGGGGUGCUCGAGUGGCGAACGGGUGAGUAACACGUGAGUAACCUGCCCUUGACUUUGGGAUAACUUCAGGAAACUGGGGCUAAUACCGGAUAGGAGCUCCUGCUGCAUGGUGGGGGUUGGAAAGUUUCGGCGGUUGGGGAUGGACUCGCGGCUUAUCAGCUUGUUGGUGGGGUAGUGGCUUACCAAGGCUUUGACGGGUAGCCGGCCUGAGAGGGUGACCGGCCACAUUGGGACUGAGAUACGGCCCAGACUCCUACGGGAGGCAGCAGUAGGGAAUAUUGCACAAUGGGCGGAAGCCUGAUGCAGCAACGCCGCGUGCGGGAUGACGGCCUUCGGGUUGUAAACCGCUUUCGCCUGUGACGAAGCGUGAGUGACGGUAAUGGGUAAAGAAGCACCGGCUAACUACGUG
This 468-nucleotide ribosomal RNA is filed under the name uncultured bacterium. Its description in RNAcentral is "partial 16S ribosomal RNA". It matches the Rfam family "Bacterial small subunit ribosomal RNA", at positions 28 to 507 of the family's 1533-position model. The record is from RNAcentral.